RNAcentral lists this ribosomal RNA (433 nucleotides) under uncultured bacterium. RNAcentral's name for it is "partial 16S ribosomal RNA". It matches the Rfam family "Bacterial small subunit ribosomal RNA", at positions 29 to 507 of the family's 1533-position model. The record is from RNAcentral.
AACGAACGCUGGCGGCAUGCCUAGCACAUGCGAGUCGAACGAGACCUUCGGGUCUAGUGGCGCACGGGUGCGUAACGCGUGGGAAUCUGCCCUUGGGUUCGGAAUAACAGUUGGAAACGACUGCUAAUACCGGAUGAUGACGUAAGUCCAAAGAUUUAUCGCCCAAGGAUGAGCCCGCGUAGGAUUAGCUAGUUGGUGAGGUAAAGGCUCACCAAGGCGACGAUCCUUAGCUGGUCUGAGAGGAUGAUCAGCCACACUGGGACUGAGACACGGCCCAGACUCCUACGGGAGGCAGCAGUGGGGAAUAUUGGACAAUGGGUGAAAGCCUGAUCCAGCAAUGCCGCGUGAGUGAUGAAGGCCUUAGGGUUGUAAAGCUCUUUUACCCGGGAUGAUAAUGACAGUACCGGGAGAAUAAGCUCCGGCUAACUCCGUG